RNAcentral lists this ribosomal RNA (447 nucleotides) under uncultured bacterium. RNAcentral's name for it is "bacterial SSU rRNA". It matches the Rfam family "Bacterial small subunit ribosomal RNA", at positions 355 to 825 of the family's 1533-position model. The record is from RNAcentral.
UGGGGAAUAUUGGACAAUGGGCGCAAGCCUGAUCCAGCCAUGCCGCGUGAGUGACGAAGGCCUUAGGGUUGUAAAGCUCUUUUGGCGGGGACGAUAAUGACGGUACCCGCAGAAUAAGCCCCGGCUAACUUCGUGCCAGCAGCCGCGGUAAUACGAAGGGGGCUAGCGUUGUUCGGAAUUACUGGGCGUAAAGCGCACGUAGGCGGACUUUUAAGUCGGGGGUGAAAUCCCGAGGCUCAACCUCGGAACUGCCUUCGAUACUGGAAGUCUUGAGUCCGGGAGAGGUGAGUGGAACUCCGAGUGUAGAGGUGAAAUUCGUAGAUAUUCGGAAGAACACCAGUGGCGAAGGCGGCUCACUGGCCCGGUACUGACGCUGAGAUACGAAAGCGUGGGGAGCAAACAGGAUUAGAUACCCUAGUAGUCCCUGAGCGGGCUGGCAAGGCGCAU